GCUCAGAUUGAACGCUGGCGGCAUGCCUUACACAUGCAAGUCGAACGGUAACAGGUCUUCGGACGCUGACGAGUGGCGAACGGGUGAGUAAUACAUCGGAACGUGCCCAGUCGUGGGGGAUAACUACUCGAAAGAGUAGCUAAUACCGCAUACGAUCUGAGGAUGAAAGCGGGGGACCUUCGGGCCUCGCGCGAUUGGAGCGGCCGAUGGCAGAUUAGGUAGUUGGUGGGAUAAAAGCUUACCAAGCCGACGAUCUGUAGCUGGUCUGAGAGGACGACCAGCCACACUGGGACUGAGACACGGCCCAGACUCCUACGGGAGGCAGCAGUGGGGAAUUUUGGACAAUGGGCGAAAGCCUGAUCCAGCAAUGCCGCGUGCAGGAUGAAGGCCUUCGGGUUGUAAACUGCUUUUGUACGGAACGAAAAAGCUCCUUCUAAUACAGGGGGCCCAUGACGGUACCGUAAGAAUAAGCACCGGCUAACUACGUGCCAGCAGCCGCGGUAAUACGUAGGGUGCGAGCGUUAAUCGGAAUUACUGGGCGUAAAGCGUGCGCAGGCGGUUAUGUAAGACAGAUGUGAAAUCCCCGGGCUCAACCUGGGAACUGCAUUUGUGACUGCAUGGCUAGAGUACGGUAGAGGGGGAUGGAAUUCCGCGUGUAGCAGUGAAAUGCGUAGAUAUGCGGAGGAACACCGAUGGCGAAGGCAAUCCCCUGGACCUGUA
RNAcentral lists this ribosomal RNA (720 nucleotides) under uncultured Delftia sp. RNAcentral describes it as "bacterial SSU rRNA". It matches the Rfam family "Bacterial small subunit ribosomal RNA", at positions 22 to 739 of the family's 1533-position model. The record is from RNAcentral. Lineage: Bacteria; Pseudomonadati; Pseudomonadota; Betaproteobacteria; Burkholderiales; Comamonadaceae.